Molecule: non-coding RNA, 1615 nt
Organism: Candidatus Roizmanbacteria bacterium
Lineage: Bacteria; Candidatus Roizmaniibacteriota
Source: Rfam
UUUUUUAAGAGUUUGAUCCUGGCUCAGGAUGAACGCUAGCGGCGUGUUUAAGAUAUGCAAGUCGAGCGUCUCUUACAUAAAGCUUGCUUUGUGUAAGGGUAGCGGCGGACGGCUGAGUAACACGUAGGAACCUACCCUAUGGUGGGGUAUAGCCUCGGGAAACCGAGGGUAAUCCCCCAUAUCCAGCUCCUUUUUUGUUUUAUAGGUUUUUCCAGGCUGCCCUGACAGGCAGUUGCGGAAUUAUCUCUAUAGACCAAAAAUGGAGUUGGAAAGGGCUUAACUGCUCGCCAAAGGAGGGGCCUGCGGCCUAUCAGGUAGUUGGUGGGGUAAAAGCCUACCAAGCCUAUGACGGGUAGCUGACCUUAUGAGGGUGAUCAGCCAGAGGAGGACUGAGACACGGCCUCCACACCUACGGGUGGCAGCAAUCAAGAAUCGUUGGCAAUGGGCGAAAGCCUGACCACGCGACGCCGCGUGUAGGAAGACGCCUUUCGGGGUGUAAACUACUGUGGUAGGGGAAAAAAUCCAGCGCCGUAUAUUUGAAAACUUUUUCGAGUAUAGAGCGCUGGACUGAUGGUACCCUACUAGAAAGUGGCCGCUAACUUCGUGCCAGAAGCGUCGGUGAUACGAGGGCCACAAGCGUUAUCCGGUGUGACUGGGCGUAAAGGGUUCGUAGGCGGUCUUUCAAGUUACUUUUCAAAGACCUCGACUCACUCGAGGGAAGGGAAGUAAUACUGUUGGACUAGAGUUUUCUUUAGGGUAAUCGGAAUUGAUGGAGGAGUAGUGAAAUGCGUUGAUACCAUCAAGAACACCAAUGGCGAAGGCAGAUUACUGGAAGCUAACUGACGCUGAGGAACGAAAGCUAGGGGAGCAAACCGGAUUAGAGACCCGGGUAGUCCUAGCUGUAAACGAUGCUCGCUAGUUGCAUGUGCUGUUUAUUUUAGCAGCACGUGUGGCGAAGCUAACGCGUUAAGCGAGCCGCCUGGGGAGUACGGCCGCAAGGCUGAAACUCAAAGGAAUUGGCGGGGAGACACACAACUAGUGGAUCAUGUGGUUUAAUUCGAGACAAACCGAAGCACCUCACCAAGGUUUGACAUCCAGCUGCAGGCUGGUGGAAACACCGGCGGCUUUCGAAGGUGCUGGACAGCUGCUGCAUGGCUGUCGUCAGUUCGUUCCGUGAGGAGUGCCCUUAAGUGGGACAACGAACGUAACCCUUGCCCCAUGUUAGAUAUGUCAUGGGGAACUGCCCAGCCGAUGGUUGGGAGGAAGGAGAGGCAGACGUCAAGUCAGCAUGGCGCUUAUACCUUGGGCGACACACAUGAUACAAUGAGAUGGACAAAGGGUUGCCAAGCGGUAACGUGGAGCUAAUCCCAUAAACCAUCUCUCAGUAGGGAUAGAGGUCUGCAACUCGACCUCUUGAACGCGGAAUUAGUAGUAAUCGCGGAUCAGCCAAGCCGCGGUGAAUACGUUCUUGUCUCUUGCACACACUGCCCGUCAAGCCAACAAAGUUGGGAGUGCCCGAAGGCUUACAGUUGUAGGACGAGGGUAAGCUCAGCGAUGGGGACUAAGUCGUAAAAAAGUUGCGACCUAUGCGAGAGAUUGCAUAGUAAAAUACAAC